This 84-nucleotide transfer RNA is filed under the name Candidatus Jettenia caeni. RNAcentral's name for it is "planctomycete KSU-1 tRNA". It matches the Rfam family "tRNA". Rfam says of the family: Transfer RNA (tRNA) molecules are approximately 80 nucleotides in length. Their secondary structure includes four short double-helical elements and three loops (D, anti-codon, and T loops). Further hydrogen bonds mediate the characteristic L-shaped molecular structure. tRNAs have two regions of fundamental functional importance: the anti-codon, which is responsible for specific mRNA codon recognition, and the 3' end, to which the tRNAs corresponding amino acid is attached (by aminoacyl-tRNA synthetases). tRNAs cope with the degeneracy of the genetic code in two manners: having more than one tRNA (with a specific anti-codon) for a particular amino acid; and 'wobble' base-pairing, i.e. permitting non-standard base-pairing at the 3rd anti-codon position. Lineage: Bacteria; Pseudomonadati; Planctomycetota; Candidatus Brocadiia; Candidatus Brocadiales; Candidatus Brocadiaceae. The record is from Rfam by way of RNAcentral. RNAcentral also lists the same sequence under 2 other names.
GCCGAAGUGGCGGAAUUGGCAGACGCGCUAGAUUCAGGGUCUAGUCGUGGCAACACGGUAGGGGUUCGACUCCCCUCUUCGGCA